UACGGAGGAUGCGAGCGUUAUCCGGAUUUAUUGGGUUUAAAGGGUGCGCAGGCGGGCUGUUAAGCCGGCGGUAAAAAUUCAGGGCUCAACCCUGUCGAGCCGUCGGAACUGGCAGUCUUGAGUGGGCGAGAAGUAUGCGGAAUGCGUGGUGUAGCGGUGAAAUGCGUAGAGAUAUGGAGGAACACCAGUGGCGAAGGCGGCUUCCUGGUCUGCAACUGACACUGAGGCACGAAAGCGUGGGGAUCGAACAGG
Molecule: ribosomal RNA, 252 nt
Filed under: uncultured Bacteroidales bacterium
Lineage: Bacteria; Pseudomonadati; Bacteroidota; Bacteroidia; Bacteroidales
Description: partial 16S ribosomal RNA
Rfam family: Bacterial small subunit ribosomal RNA
Source: RNAcentral